GGUGAGGUGUCCGAGUGGUUGAAGGAGCACGCCUGGAAAGUGUGUAUACGUUAACAGCGUAUCGAGGGUUCGAAUCCCUCCCUCACCGCCA
Molecule: transfer RNA, 91 nt
Filed under: Pseudomonadales bacterium
Lineage: Bacteria; Pseudomonadati; Pseudomonadota; Gammaproteobacteria; Pseudomonadales
Description: tRNA-Ser
Rfam family: tRNA
About the family: Transfer RNA (tRNA) molecules are approximately 80 nucleotides in length. Their secondary structure includes four short double-helical elements and three loops (D, anti-codon, and T loops).
Source: RNAcentral